Molecule: transfer RNA, 69 nt
Filed under: Synechococcus sp. A15-28
Lineage: Bacteria; Bacillati; Cyanobacteriota; Cyanophyceae; Synechococcales; Synechococcaceae
Description: tRNA-Arg
Rfam family: tRNA (bases 5-62)
About the family: Transfer RNA (tRNA) molecules are approximately 80 nucleotides in length. Their secondary structure includes four short double-helical elements and three loops (D, anti-codon, and T loops).
Source: RNAcentral
GCACUGGCACUACUGACAGCGCGUCUGCCUUCUAAGCAGUCGGUCGAUGGUUCGAAUCCAUCAGGGGCG